Molecule: ribosomal RNA, 492 nt
Filed under: uncultured bacterium
Lineage: Bacteria
Description: partial 16S ribosomal RNA
Rfam family: Bacterial small subunit ribosomal RNA
Source: RNAcentral
AGUGAACGCUGGCGGUAGGCCUAACAGGUGCAAGUCGAACGGCAGCACAGUAAGAGCUUGCUCUUACGGGUGGCGAGUGGCGUACGGGUGAGGAAUACAUCGGAAUCUACUUUUUCGUGGGGGAUAACGUAGGGAAACUUACGCUAAUACCGCAUACGACCUACGGGUGAAAGCAGGGGAUCUUCGGACCUUGCGCGAUUGAAUGACCCGAUGUCGGAUUAGCUAGUUGGCGGGGUAAAGGCCCACCAGGGCGACGAUCCGGAACUGGUCUGAGAGGAUGAUCAGCCACCCUGGAACUGAGACACGGGCCAGACUCCUACGGGAGGCAACAGUGGGGAAUAUUGGACAAUGGGCGGAAGCCUGAUCCAGCCAUACCGCGUGGGUGAAGAAGGCCUUCGGGUUGUAAAGCCCUUUUGUUGGGAAAGAAAAGCAGCAGGUUAAUACCCCGCUGUUCUGACGGUACCCAAAGAAUAAGCACCGGCUAACUUCGUG